RNAcentral lists this ribosomal RNA (427 nucleotides) under uncultured beta proteobacterium. Its description in RNAcentral is "bacterial SSU rRNA". It matches the Rfam family "Bacterial small subunit ribosomal RNA", at positions 355 to 774 of the family's 1533-position model. Lineage: Bacteria; Pseudomonadati; Pseudomonadota; Betaproteobacteria. The record is from RNAcentral.
UGGGGAAUUUUGGACAAUGGGCGAAAGCCUGAUCCAGCCAUGCCGCGUGAGUGAAGAAGGCCUUCGGGUUGUAAAGCUCUUUUAGUCGGAAAGAAAGAGUCGCAAUGAAUAAUUGUGAUUUAUGACGGUACCGACAGAAAAAGCACCGGCUAACUACGUGCCAGCCGCCGCGGUAAUACGUAGGGUGCGAGCGUUAAUCGGAUUUACUGGGCGUAAAGGGUGCGCAGGCGUUCGUUCAAGUCAGUUGUGAAAGCCCCGGGCUUAACCUGGGAAUUGCGUUUGAAACUACAAGACUAGAGUGCAGUAGAGGGGAGUGGAAUUCCAUGUGUAGCAGUGAAAUGCGUAGAGAUGUGGAAGAACUCCGAUGGCGAAGGCAGCUCCCUGGGUUGACACUGACGCUCAUGCACGAAAGCGUGGGGAGCAAACA